Long non-coding RNA from Chroicocephalus ridibundus (black-headed gull), 517 nucleotides. RefSeq lists it as uncharacterized. The transcript is spliced from 3 exons. The record is from RefSeq and is a predicted model, not a curated record. Lineage: Eukaryota; Metazoa; Chordata; Aves; Charadriiformes; Laridae.
ACAACUUGUAUGUAACAUCUCUCAAAACAAUUAGACUCAUCCCACAUGGGAAAGUGCUUGGACUGUCUGACGCUCCUGGCCAUAGCCUCUUGUAAUGUGGAAUGAACAUUUUCUUAAUAUUCGCUGAAGUAACUAACUAUUUCCAUACAUAAUGCUUGGGAACAGAGAGACAGAAAAAUUACUUGUCUGAGUCACGUGGGAAGUCUUCAUCAAGGCAAGGAAUUGAAUCCAGUCCUGAACCAUAUGAGAGAGAUGCGGUGACGUGGAGUAGGAGAGCAUUUGAAGAGGCAUCGUUACCUCUCCAGAAGUAGGACAUCAACUAUGUAUUUUUCAGAAGAUCUUCCAUCUACGUGUAAAUUUAGUCCAAGGCAGCUUGACAUAUGAAGUCAGAAGAGAUCAUGGCACUAGACAGCACAGAACAGACUCAUGUGAGAUGAUUCUAAUUGUGAUUUAAAUCAAGCAGGAAGGGGUCAAGAAUAUUACGCCGUGGUAGAAUGAGAUGAGGGAUGUUGAUGUA